ACGUGAGUAACCUGCCCUUAACUCUGGGAUAAGCCUGGGAAACUGGGUCUAAUACCGGAUAUGACUCCUCAUCGCAUGGUGGGGGGUGGAAAGCUUUAUUGUGGUUUUGGAUGGACUCGCGGCCUAUCAGCUUGUUGGUGAGGUAAUGGCUUACCAAGGCGACGACGGGUAGCCGGCCUGAGAGGGUGACCGGCCACACUGGGACUGAGACACGGCCCAGACUCCUACGGGAGGCAGCAGUGGGGAAUAUUGCACAAUGGGCGCAAGCCUGAUGCAGCGACGCCGCGUGAGGGAUGACGGCCUUCGGGUUGUAAACCUCUUUCAGUAGGGAAGAAGCGAAAGUGACGGUACCUGCAGAAGAAGCGCCGGCUAACUACGUGCCAGCAGCCGCGGUAAUACGUAGGGCGCAAGCGUUAUCCGGAAUUAUUGGGCGUAAAGAGCUCGUAGGCGGUUUGUCGCGUCUGCCGUGAAAGUCCGGGGCUCAACUCCGGAUCUGCGGUGGGUACGGGCAGACUAGAGUGAUGUAGGGGAGACUGGAAUUCCUGGUGUAGCGGUGAAAUGCGCAGAUAUCAGGAGGAACACCGAUGGCGAAGGCAGGUCUCUGGGCAUUAACUGACGCUGACGACCGAAAGCAUGGGGAGCGAACAGGAUUAGAUACCCUGGUAGUCCAUGCCGUAAACGUUGGGCACUAGGUGUGGGGGACAUUCCACGUUUUCCGCG
This 720-nucleotide ribosomal RNA is filed under the name Pseudarthrobacter oxydans. RNAcentral describes it as "bacterial SSU rRNA". It matches the Rfam family "Bacterial small subunit ribosomal RNA", at positions 115 to 845 of the family's 1533-position model. Lineage: Bacteria; Bacillati; Actinomycetota; Actinomycetes; Micrococcales; Micrococcaceae. The record is from RNAcentral.